UAUGGAUGAGUGCUCCACCACCACUACCAACACUUGUUUUCAUCCUUCUCACUCAAACAACAAACAUUUCCUAUAACUCUUCCUCCAUCCCCAACACUUGAACAUAUUUAAUUUAUCAAACUGCAGAAGCUCAUCUUCACGCAAAUGGGUGAGAAGCAGCAAUCAGCAUAUCCGGCCAACGGCUACAUACGGAGCGGCGACACGGAGGCCGCGGCGGCUCACAACGUCAGAGAGCAGCGCAAGAAGAAGCGCACCAAAUGCAUCCUCUACAUCCUCCUCUUCAUCGUCUUCCAAACCGCAAUCAUCACUGUCUUCGCCCUAACCGUUAUGAAAGUGAAAACUCCCAAAUUCCGUAUCCGCCAAGCCACCUUCACCUCCUUCAACGCCGCCACUGACUCUCUGCAGGCCACCAUGAGCCCUGAAUUCACGGUGAAGAACACCAACUUCGGCCGCUACAAAUACCGCAACACCACCGUCGAUUUCUUCUACAGAGGAACCAGAGUCGCCCAGGUUUUCGUCCCCAAUUCUAAAACCGGUUGGAGAUCCACCAAGAAGUUCAUUCACUCCGCCGUCCAAUUGAAUCUCAGCAACCACCCUCAGCUGGCCGCCGAUUUGAGCGCGGGAGUAGUGCCGAUCACGAGCUCGGCGCAGAUGAGAGGGAGAGUGGAACUCAUCUUCAUCAUGAAGAAGAACAAAUCUACCAAUAUGAAUUGCACCAUGGAAAUCGUCACGGCCACGCAGGCUCUUAGGAACAUCGCCUGCAGAUGAUUUCUCUCUAAAUUGUUUUUUCUUUUUUUUGAGAACCUAUAUUUUUCCAUUUUGAUUUACUACAUGUUUUCAUCAGGCCGUAGUCUACAUAUUUUUUAACGUGUUGCAUUAAUUUUUGCUUUGUUGUAACUCUUUUGUCAUGUGUGGAUAUAAAAUAUUAAUUUUCAGCACCCUCUGACCACAUCUGAGUAGCAUGACACAUUUCUAAUAUUAUAAGUUACUACUACAUUUUACGUUUAUUCUAAGCAUUAAUUUGCAGAUAUUUAUAAUAGAAAAAUAGAAUUUCUAAAUUCUUUUGCAUGGCAAUCUAAAAUUUGACAAUUUGAAUUUUUUUAUAUCUUGAUUCUCCUUUAUUUAUGAUAAUUAAUUUUUAAUUAUAAUACUAUAUAGUUUUAUAUAUUUAAUGAUUCAAUUAAUACGGACCUUACAAACCAUAAUUCAUGAAAAUUAACUUAAAUAAAUAUCUAGUAUAUUAGUUACCCUUUCCUACUCUUAAAAUACAAAUAUAUAAAAAAAUUUAAAAAAUAAAUAUAUAAAUAUUAGUCCUUUUUUCUUCUUAAAAAUAAAUUUAUAAAUAUAUGAAGUGCAUUCUUCAUGUUAACACUUCCCACUUUUAUGAAGUAAGAUGUCUAUUUAAUGCAUACAUAUUUUAUUUUAAAAUUUUCUAAUGAUGAACUUUAUAACUAUGGAUCCAAGUAUAUGUAUAUGUGUAUUUAGUACUGGAAUAUAUGGAUUAGUCAAGAAAUUGAAAUGAAAAAAAAUUCAUAAACUUCUUCUUCAAAUAUCAAUUUAAUUAUGCAUAAAUAAUAAAUCUAUCUAUACGUUGAAUCCCAUGUCGAAUGUCUAGCAAUAUUCAUCAUCAACUUAAAAAUGAAUAUGAAUUCUAAAGGAUUAAUUGCCUCUAAAUUCAUAAACUUUGGUCAAUUUCUAUUUUUUUCCCACAAUCUUUGAACUUGCGAUUUAAAACCAUCAACUAUCAAUUUUUUGCAAAUUUCUCAUGAAGUGCAUUUUCGGCAAAAAUGGGCACUGGAAUUUUCCGACGUGGCGUAAAUAACUUAAAACAUGGCAUCCACGUAUAGCCUCUCUGCCGGAUAAGACAAGACGAUGUCGUUUCGCCAAUCUUCUAGAAAUGAAAAGCGUUGAAAAUAAAGGGGUUUAUCAAAUGGUGAAAUCACAGGGCAAGAAAAAUUACAGCUGCAAUCCACGGUGAAAUUUGUUCCAUUGUAGGUGGUUCAAGAGGAGGGUUUGAGCUUGGUGGUCGACGGUGUUCGUAGGCGUAUUUGACGUCAAAAUAACUGUAGUCAAUGAACACUUACAUAUUUUCUGCGAAUUUGUGUCCCAGUCGAAUAUUUUGGUCGAGCUCUCCAUUGACGUCAAAAUAACAAUUACGCCCCAUCGGCGUCUGCGAAAGCUUCAAUUUACCUAAAGCCCCAAUAUGUUUUCUUCAAUCUCAUGUAAAAAUCGAUAGAUUAGAGUAGGAUUUGGGAAUGGAAGGUUUGAGAAGAUGAACCCUAAUUUUAUUUUUUAGAAAACACGUAAAAGAAACAACAUCGUUUCUAUUAAAAUACUACUACGGCGUUUUAGUAAUUUUUGGCGAGUCCAUGUCGGCAAAAUUCGGCUCCACGUGUGUCCUAUUUUUUUUUCUUCCGAAAAUGCGCUUCAUGAGAAUUUUGGAAAAAAAUUGAUAGUUGAUGGUUUUAAAUCGCAAGUUUAAAGACUAUGAAAAAACACGAAAAUCGAUCAAAGUUUAUGAAUUUAGAGGCAAUUAACCCAAUUAUAAAUUCUAAGUAUAUUAAUUCUAAAUGGGUUCGAAUAAUUGAACCAUGUAAUCAACAAGUAUUAUUGUACGAGUUUAGGAUUUGAACGAAUAUUAUGAUUACAUAAACAAAUUAAAAAUUUAUAUUAUAUAAUUUGACCAAAUAAAUUAAUAAUAAUAAUAAUAAUAAUAAUAAUAAUAAUAAUAAUAAUAAUAAUAAUAAUAAUAAUAAUAAUAAUAAUAAUAAUAAUAAUAAUAAUAAUAAUAAUAAUAAUAUGUAUACUCUAUAUUAUGUUGUCAUUUUUUAUUUGGUACAUGUGGACCUGUGGUGAUACAUGCCUGCAGAAGUGAUCUACUUAUGGGUAAUCAUAGAUCUCCUAUUAGAAGUAUAAUUAUUGUCUGGAUAUACUUCUAAUCCUCAUGAUAGCUACGAAAUUGUUAUGUAGCAUGUGUAUGGAUCUUAUUUCUUGAAGAAUAAUUAUCAGAUUGAUAGAUCAAGAUCAUCCAAGUAGAGUUAACUCUUGUUUUCAUCUACAAUUAGAGAAUGAUUAACUUGGGCUACAAGGGAAGAUUAGAGACAUAAAGUCUGUAUAAGGAGGUCAUAUUUUGUUCAAGAUGGCUAGGAAUUUUUUGCUUAAUAGUUCUUGCUAUGUAGUAGAGAAUUAUUGUUCCUGCUAGGUGUUCUCCCUGAACCUGUUACAGUCUGUAGUACAUUUUCAGUUACAGUAAUUUUCUUUACACUAGUAGAAGAGUGUUUGUGAGUUAUACAGUUGAGCGUACAUUAAAGUGUUGUAAACUCUUCUUUAUUUUGUUCUUGUUCAUCAAGGGAUUAGGUGGUGUCCGCCGUUGUUCACACCUUAGAAAUUAUUCGUUGUCUAGCUUUCAGUUAUUCAUCAUUGGUGAGGUUUUGAGAAGAUAUAGAGGCUAAGUAAGAUGAAGUCUUCUCAUCGAAUUGAGUUACCAUUCUUGGUGUUUUCUUGUGUUACAUUAUCUGUUACAUCAUGUGUUACUGUAUUUGUACACGUAUGCACAUUAGCUGUUAAAUCACAUCUCACCACAUAUUCUAUGAAUUAGUCAUUCUUUUAAUAAUAAUAAUAAUAAUAAUAAUAAUAAUAAUAAUAAUAAUAAUAAUAAUAAUAAUAAUAAUAAUAAUAAUAAUAAUAAUUAAUGUUGUUCAAAUUUUAAAGUUGAGGUCCCAUAGUUUUCCUGCCUACAUGCGGUCUAAUGACUUAUUUCAUUAUAAUUCAAAAAAAAAUGUUCAAAUUUUUAUAGAGAGGAUAAUCAAUCACCAAUAUAAUUUAAAUUUCAUUAAUUAUAUAUUUUGUAAAUUUAAAUGAAUUUAGGUUAUUAACAACAAUUAUUAUAUUAGAAUGUGACGAGAAGAUAAAAUUAUUUUUCUAAUAAUAUUGAGCAAAUAGAGUUAUAUUUAUUCUAAACGAUUCUAGAUAUCAUUUGAAAAGUGAACUGCAUUAUCAUCAAUUCAUCAUGAUCUCUCUCCUUCUAGUUUUCAUUCAUCGGCAAUCCCUAAAUAUUUGAUUUCUCCACAAAGAUAUCGUUAGUUGCUUUGAUACUUCCACUUCUUUCAUAAUUUACAUACAAAGCUCAAGUUAAAAUUAAUAUCACAAUUAAGGAGUAAGAUACUUAAGAAAGUAGAGAUUUUAGAGAACCAAAAUACUUUUAUCAAAAAAAAGAAGAGAGAACCAAAAUACUAACAAUUUCAUCAAAUACAUAGCCCACGGGCUAACCCAAGCUAGGAACCCAAAAUGAAUUUGGGUUUUGGUUGUUAAUUGAUUUGUUUAGUAACAACGCUAAAUGGGCCAGCCCACUUGAGUCACGGGUUUAGGCAUCAACCAGCAAUUUUAAAAUUAUUUAUUUUAGCAAUAAAAUAAAACUAUAAAAAUUAAAAUCGUUGAAAGAAGAUUUCCAGAUAGAUAGAAGCUUCUGCGCAUAAUAUAUUUUUUUGAGGGUAUAGUAAUAAAUAGUAGUACUAUUUCAACGUUCUUCACGAAUCAAGUCUCACGCGUUAACUUAAAAAAUGAUAUUCCAUCAAACAUCCCGCGCCCCCUCUCCAUCUAUUUAUACACCACUCACUCCCACCUCCCCCAUCAACAAAUCCCAUUCCUUCUCAUACAAACAACUUCUCACUUUCUGUUUCUUAUAUCUCUCAAAAUCAGUAAGUGAUGGCCGAGAAGGAGCAACAAUCAGCAUAUCCCGCCAACGGCUACACACGGAGCGGCGACACGGAGGCCGCCGCGGCUCACAACGUCAGAGAGCAGCGCAAGAAGAAGCGCACGAAAUGCAUCCUUUACAUCCUUCUCUUCAUCGUCUUCCAAACCGCAAUCAUCACUGUCUUCGCCCUAACCGUUAUGAAAGUGAAAACUCCCAAAUUCCGUAUCCGCCAAGCCACCUUCACCUCCUUCAACGCCGCCACUGACUCUCUGCAGGCCACCAUGACCCCUGAAUUCACGGUGAAGAACACCAACUUCGGCCGCUACAAAUACCGCAACACCACCGUCGAUUUCUUCUACAGAGGAACCAGAGUCGCCCAGGUUUUCGUCCCUAAUUCUAAAACCGGUUGGAGAUCCACCAAGAAGUUCAUUCACUCCGCCGUCCAAUUGAAUCUCAGCAACCACCCUCAGCUGGCCGCCGAUUUGAGCGCGGGAGUAGUGCCGAUCACGAGCUCGGCGCAGAUGAGAGGGAGAGUGGAACUCAUCUUCAUCAUGAAGAAGAACAAAUCUACCAAUAUGAAUUGCACCAUGGAAAUCGUCACGGCCACGCAGGCUCUUAGGAACAUCGCCUGCAGAUGAUUUCUUUCUGUUCAUCUCCAUUAUUUCAUUAUUCUUUUGAACCUAUGUAUGGUUUAUUUUGUCGCUUUGUUACUUGCUGUUCUCUAAAUUAAACAUUUGGUUAGUCAUAUAUAACUAUUUUAAUUAGGACGUGUUUACUUUGGAUGAUUGAUAAAAUAGAUA
Molecule: long non-coding RNA, 5493 nt
Filed under: Salvia miltiorrhiza (redroot sage)
Lineage: Eukaryota; Viridiplantae; Streptophyta; Magnoliopsida; Lamiales; Lamiaceae
Description: long non-coding RNA (SMIL_LNC006616)
Source: RNAcentral